Long non-coding RNA from Ceratitis capitata (Mediterranean fruit fly), 602 nucleotides. RefSeq lists it as uncharacterized. Lineage: Eukaryota; Metazoa; Arthropoda; Insecta; Diptera; Tephritidae. The record is from RefSeq and is a predicted model, not a curated record. The transcript has 3 exons.
AGUAAAAGUCAAAAAAGAUUUUUGAAAAAAAGAUGAAAAUAUAGGGAAAUAAUCUUGUUCUUUGAAUGAAGAUAAAUUCUAUUAAUGGUGUUGUGUCAAAUGGAAACAAGUGAAUUUUUACAACAAUAUUUAAAGAAAAUUGUGAAAAACUGAUUCAAUGGAAUAAGCAACUUAGUGAAUAUGAGAAGUGUUUUGAUGGUGCAUUGAAUUACAACAAAAUGCCACCAUCCAAAGAUUAUGAAAAUAAAGAUAUGUGAAAUUUUAUGACAAAUAAGAAAACAAAACAUUGAUCUCUCUUUUUCGAGAAGCUACCACCGCAACAAAUGUAGUCGCUUGUGAACUUAGACUUUGAUGAUAAAGAAUUGCACUGUCGAUGUAGGCUCGUGAGACUUUGCUAUGAAAUUAGAAAUGUACCUGCACGGAAAGAAAAUAAAUGAUAACUUAUAAUAACGAGAAGGUGCAAAUUCGGUGCAACAUCGAACCGGCUUCAGACAUUUUCUGAAAAACACCGGGAAAGGGAUUCACUAUGCUUUUUUAACAGCCACUGUAAAAGUUAACAGAAAAAAUUAAUUUUGAUAUGCUAAAGAAUUAUAUUUUUAAAA